Molecule: non-coding RNA, 2859 nt
Organism: Cyanistes caeruleus (blue tit)
Lineage: Eukaryota; Metazoa; Chordata; Aves; Passeriformes; Paridae
Source: RefSeq, a predicted model, not a curated record
CUGCGGCGCUCUCGGCGCGGAGCCGCCGGGGAAGGAGCGACGGAGCGGCCUCAGAGAGGAAAAGCCGAUCGCCGGCAGCGACCAUCAGAGGAAAGGGGAAAAACAUGAUGCUCGGAGUGGGUGGAGUGAAAUCCAGAGAGGUCGCACCUCGUCCCCCCCAGAUGCUCCUCUGCAUCUCUCCAGCUGCGGAAGCCACGUGUUGUGGUGUCAAGCGUAAGCCCAGCUCGUGAAGGUGUUGAAAAUGAAUUGGUUACCUGGAAGUUGUUCUGGAGGGAAUUGCAACAGCAUUGUCUCCGGAAAGAGGAUGCGGGAGCAUGUCAAGGCGUGUAUUUUACAUUCGAUGAAAGCCUAUUAGUGCUAAGCCUUCACUAAAUGAAGAGACAAAAGGCUGAACGUUAACGUGAAGGGAAAGUUUCUCACUGCUGAGAAGCAGAAGUUCAUUACUCCUGGACCCUCAUUGUUACAUUCACAAAGCUCAUCAUAGGCAGCAGGGACAAGCGGGGCUGGUAUGUGAUAAACCAAUGCUUUGAGAAUAGGUAAGGUAUUCAAAUUGUGAUACAGCCCACUAAUGGAUGAACUGUCCUAAUAGAUAUUUCAUUAAUGACUACUUACAAGAACUGCUUAAUUGUCUUUAUUCCAGGAUAUGAGGUGCCUAAAGGAUAGAAUAAGCUUCUAAGAUAAUAGAAUAACAAAACUAAAAUGCAUUAGUGGAUGAUACCAAAUAUUACAGUAAAGCAAUGCAAAAGUAUUUUAAUGACAUACGUUUCUACACAAAGAGCAGCACUGACAGAACAAACAGUAAUUGUUAAAAUUAAAAUUACAAACAAUUUAUAAUGAGCUGGUUUUUAGGACCUCAUUUUUUUUUUAAAAACCUGAAAUUUUGACUGAAAUUGUACAGGCUGGCCUGAUUGAAAGCAGUGUUGUUAAUACUACAGUAGGUCUGGAGGUGGCUGGUUGACUUAGUUUGGGGGACAAGAAAACAGUCUUCUAGCUAAAAGAAUCCCACAGGCUUUUUUAUUUUUGAAACAUCAAGAGGCCAAACGUGUCACAGUUGGCAAUGGCAGUCUGAUGAGGCAUAUCCCUCAUGUGAAAGCUAUGUUGUACUUUAUUUCAGAUCUAAGGGGACAAAGCCUUGCAUGUUUGAGGGCAAUUGCACCAAAAUAUCAAGAUUCCAUGUUUAUGCCAUCACACUGCUAUCCAGCCUUAGCUUUUCCACAGCUUUGAGUUAGAGCUGAAGCACUUGAGGAGUCCUGGCAGUGACAAGUCACACCUGAUAGUUAACAGCUGUGUUAGCCCCUUUCUGGCUCUUGGGGCAGUAAGCCUGCGUCUGGAGCAAACCUUGUUGUACCAAAUCAAAGUUAACAUUGUCAUCUUAUGAAUCUGAGCCAACCUGUCUAUAUUGUUUAGGGUCUGUGCUCUCAGUUCACGUGGCUGACAGCAAGAGCCUUGUGUUACUGAGAAAUUUUUCUGGAAGAAUUGGGUAUUUUGGUAUAUAUCCCAGCUGCUUUGAGUGUGCUGGUGUAAAAUGCACUGUAAAUAUUUCCAGUAACAUACACAAAAUUUGGAAAUUAAGAUCAGUUUUAUUAUAUUGUAGGCUGCUAUUAUGCAAUCUGUACUUUUCAGCUGACCACUAAUGCUACUCUUUGACCUGCAAUUCAAGAACACAAUUUCAGUGAUUUGUCUUUCUCAGUAUUUAAACUCAGCUAAUUUUUGUGCUAUUUUAGUGCCAAUAUCUGCUCUAUUUCUAGUCCUGUGUCCUUAGUCUCAUCAACUAUACAGCUAAUACAUUGUUUAUAACAGAAAAUCAAGGUAUUUUACUUUUGCACCAGUAAAACUGAUAAAGAUGUAAACUCUUUUCUGACACCAGAAUUUCUAGCAGAACAGUGUGACGAGUUAGCUCUGUUUGUGAACUGUUCACCACCUUCAGCUCAAGCUUUUUUCCCUCUAGUUCUAACAUAUAUGUUCUGGCAGUAUGGGGUGAUCUACACUUAGUGCAGGACUAAAACAUUCUAAAGUUGACAGCAUCACAUGCAGAAAUGUUCAUUUGCACAUCAUCUAAAAUAUGACUUCAAGACAAACCACUAUUAUAUAAUAUCUGCCCACAUGCUUAAUGUUGUAUAAUUAUUUCCAGUACAUUGAGUAUCAUGUAUAAUUACUUCCAAUACACUUAAUAUGAGAAAAAGCUUGUAGGCAGUACUUUGGAUGAUGUUAUUAGUUUACUCUGUACCCAUAUCCCCAGCCCCAAGGCUUAACUACUUUAUCUGAACAGUCCAAAGGAAAUGGUUGAGGGAAAAGGCUGAUGUACCUGUAAUUUGGUAGGUUGAUCAGAGGAGAAUAUAUGACUUGCAACCUGCACAGCAAGGAGCUAUUGACAUGUUCCUGCCUUUCUCGACAGAGGAUAACUCACUUUGUGUUUUGUAUAGCUGCAAAGCUAUUCAAAUCACCUGCCACUAAAUCUAAAUAGAGUAGCAUGGCUCUUUGAGAAUAUACCCUCUGGGAGAGAUGAAAGAUAUGUAGACUCAUACGUGAGGCCACUCCUACAGAAUCCUUUCUUUUACCAGCUGUCAUUAAAAGUAAUAAGUAAUGAGCAGACGUCUUGUGAUGAGGUUGUUAUUAGAAGGAAGAAAGGAAGAUUUGUUUUACUUCAUGAAUCAUCUGCAAAAUAAUUUUAAAGCAGCUUUGUUCAAGGUGAUUUUUGAGCUGUCAUUGCUGUAUAUUGUGUUAUUCUCUGAGUAAAAUGAAAAGACUUCAAAUGAAACAAUCUGCUUCCAAAGUUUUGAAAUUGUAUGUUUGGUAGGAAAAAAAAAAUCCUUUUUUUUUAAUAAAAUUUUUAUGCUUCCAGGACUGUAAUUUAUGAUA